GUAAUAAAAUUCUCCGCAUUCAUCACCCUUCAAUUUUUUCAUGCAACCUUGGUUGCAAGGACUCAGGUGGAGAGACGAAGGAUCAAGCAAUGUGACUGGUAGAAACUGUGUUAUACAAGGUAAACCAAGAGAGAAUUGUGCAAAAAUGUCUUCAGGGUCACUUCUUUCCCUAACUUGGUCCCUCAGAGUUCUUUCCACUAGAUAUCCAGUGUGUUCAACCUAA
Molecule: long non-coding RNA, 223 nt
Filed under: Homo sapiens (human)
Lineage: Eukaryota; Metazoa; Chordata; Mammalia; Primates; Hominidae
Description: HSALNT0241902
Source: RNAcentral